Molecule: long non-coding RNA, 642 nt
Filed under: Rattus norvegicus (Norway rat)
Lineage: Eukaryota; Metazoa; Chordata; Mammalia; Rodentia; Muridae
Description: long non-coding RNA NONRATT024810
Source: RNAcentral
CAGAGUUUGUACAAAUGAUGACAGCGAAGUGAAGACCCUGUACAGAAGGUGUUAAAUUUCUUGUACAGAACUGUUAAUUUGCCUUUUCUCUGUUUGUAACUUAUCUGUAAAAGGUUCCCCCACUGUCAGAACAUGCAUGUAUAGUAAUUAGGACUCCAUUCCUCCAUGUUUCUUCCCUAUCUUCUGUCAUUGUCCUUCAACCUUAUUUUAGAAAACUGAUCAAGUACCAUGUUGCAUGUGGCUUCCUCUGGAUAUAUCUAAGCCCUUCUGCACAUCUACACUUAGAUGGAGUUGGUCAAAGGGAACAUCUGGGUUAUGCCUUUUUUACAGUAGCUUUAGGAACCGUCGGCAUGUUGCUGUUGAAGUGUGGAGUUGUGAGCGUGGACUGUGGACAGUCGACAGCGUGUACUAAGAGUUGCACUACUGCAAACGGGUGUUCUGUCCGGUACUCACUCGUACACUAUUUUUUUGUACUGCUGGUAUUGUACCAGAAACAUUUUCUUUUAUUGUUACUUGCUUUUUAAACUUUGUUUAGCCACUUAAGGAAGAUCUGCUUAUGGCACAAUUUGCCUCAAAUCCAUUCCAAGUUGUAUAUUUGUUUUCCAAUAAAAAAAAAUGACAAUUUACCCAAUUGUUGCUCUG